This 468-nucleotide ribosomal RNA is filed under the name uncultured bacterium. RNAcentral's name for it is "partial 16S ribosomal RNA". It matches the Rfam family "Bacterial small subunit ribosomal RNA", at positions 28 to 507 of the family's 1533-position model. The record is from RNAcentral.
GACGAACGCUGGCGGCGUGCUUAACACAUGCAAGUCGAACGGAAAGGCCCUGCUCUUGUGGGGUGCUCGAGUGGCGAACGGGUGAGUAACACGUGAGUAACCUGCCCUUGACUUUGGGAUAACUUCAGGAAACUGGGGCUAAUACCGGAUAGGAGCUCCUGCUGCAUGGUGGGGGUUGGAAAGUUUCGGCGGUUGGGGAUGGACUCGCGGCUUAUCAGCUUGUUGGUGGGGUAGUGGCUUACCAAGGCUUUGACGGGUAGCCGGCCUGAGAGGGUGACCGGCCACAUUGGGACUGCGGUAGGGCCCAGACUCCUACGGGAGGCAGCAGUGGGGAGUAUUGCGCAAUGGGCGGAAGCCUGAUGCAGCAACGCCGCGUGCGGGAUGACGGCCUUCGGGUUGUAGACCGCUUUCGCAUGUGACGAAGCGUGAGUGACGGUAAUGGGUAAAGAAGCACCGGCUAACUACGUG